Suricata suricatta (meerkat) is the source of this 521-nucleotide long non-coding RNA. RefSeq lists it as uncharacterized. Lineage: Eukaryota; Metazoa; Chordata; Mammalia; Carnivora; Herpestidae. The record is from RefSeq and is a predicted model, not a curated record. The transcript is spliced from 4 exons.
CACUGUGUGGAAAGUGUUGUAGUGGCACCAUGGACAGCUGGAAACAAAGUGAGCAUUUUAUGACAAGGAAUUAACAAUUCAGUUGGGUCACCGAAGUGUCGAACCCUCAGUAUCAUGCUUGUCACUCUGAUAUGAAGCUGAAUGGAACACUAGAAUUUAAUUGAAAAGCGUAGGAGGUACAGAGCUUCUGGAUGGUCUUCCAGAGACAUUCAGUAAUAUCCCACGAGGCUUGGAGACCUUCGGAAGACACCACAUAUCUGAAAAUGCACAGGAAUGAAUAAAAUAGUUUCACAAGACUAAGCUGCACGAAGAUGUAAAGAAACUGGAGAGAUGCACAUCCUGAACUUAUUAUAAAUCCCAAACUCCUGAACUGCCGAAAGAAUAGAGUGAGCAUAUCGUCCGUACUCCAGAAGCAGAAAUCACUGUUUUAAGGGUUGAAACAAUUUCACUAACACAUGGAAAGGAUUUCUUCCAGAUACACUGCAAAGACUUGAAAAUAAAAUUUGAUAAUAGAAAUACAA